GGGCGGCAGGUAGUCUAGUGGUUAGAGCAGGUAGUCUAGUGGUUAGAGCAGGUAGUCUAGUGGUUAGAGCAGGUAGUCUAGUGGUUAGAGGGGAGGCAGGUAGCCUAGUGGUUAGAGCAGCUAGCCUAGUGGUUAGAGCAGGUAGCCUAGUGGUUAGAGCAGGUAGCCUAGUGGUUAGAGCAGGUAGCCUAGUGGUUAGAGCAGGUAGCCUAGUGGUUAGAGCAGGUAGCCUAGUGGUUAGAGCAGGUAGCCUAGUGGUUAGAGGGGCG
Oncorhynchus tshawytscha (Chinook salmon) is the source of this 269-nucleotide long non-coding RNA. Lineage: Eukaryota; Metazoa; Chordata; Actinopteri; Salmoniformes; Salmonidae. The record is from Ensembl.